GGUUGNNCNNGCCGGAGGUCACUGCUAUUGGGGUUCGNNUAAGCCAUGCGAGCGGAGGGCGCGGUCGCAAGAUCGUGGCCCCGCACACGGCUCAGUAACACGUAGUCAACCUACCCUUGGGACGGGGACAACGCCGGGAAACUGGCGAUAAUCCCCGAUAGGUGAGGGAUGCUGGGAUGCUUCUCCGCUCAAAGNUCCGGCGCCCGAGGAUGGGACUGCGGCCUAUCAGGCUGUUGGUGGUGUGACGGACCACCAAACCUACGACGGGUACGGGCGAUGGGAGUCGGAGCCUGGAGAUGGGGACUGAGACAAGGCCCCAGGCCCUACGGGGCGCAGCAGGCGCGAAAACUCCGCAAUGCGCGCAAGCGUGACGGGGGAACCCCAAGUGCCGUUGGUCUUUUGAUCGACGGCUUUUCGGAAGUCCAAUACGCUUCCGGAAUAAGGGCUGGGUUAGACUGGUGCCAGCCGCCGCGGUAACACCAGCAGCCCAAGUGGUGGCCGCGAUUAUUGGGCCUAAAGCGCUCGUAGCCGGAUCAGCAAGUCCUUUGUGAAAUCGGGCCGCCCAACGGUUCGGCGUGCAAAGGAUACUGUUUGUCUUGAGACCGGGAGAGGUCGGAGGUACUCUUGGGGGUAGCGGUGAAAUGCUGUAAUCCUGGGGGGACCACCAGUGGCGAAGGCGUCCGACCAGAACGGAUCUGACGGUGAGGGGCGAAGGCUAGGGGAGCGAACGGGAUUAGAUACCCCGGAAGUCCUAGCUGUAAAGCAUGCGGGCCAGGUGUCUAGCGCUCCUUGAGGGCGCUAUGUGUCGGAGGGAAGCCGUUAAGCCCGCCGCCUGGGAAGUACGGCCGCAAGGCUGAAACUUAAAGGAAUUGGCGGGGGAGCAC
This 884-nucleotide ribosomal RNA is filed under the name uncultured archaeon. RNAcentral's name for it is "bacterial SSU rRNA". It matches the Rfam family "Archaeal small subunit ribosomal RNA", at positions 6 to 879 of the family's 1478-position model. The record is from RNAcentral.